Molecule: transfer RNA, 66 nt
Filed under: Bacteroidota bacterium
Lineage: Bacteria; Pseudomonadati; Bacteroidota
Description: tRNA-Lys
Source: RNAcentral
ACGGAUGUUGCUCAGUUGGGAGUUUGUUUUUUAUAUUCAAAGUAAGUUCGAGUCUUACCAUCCGUA